UACAAAGAAGUUCUAAAAGACUACAAGAAAGAGUUUCCACUAAAGAAAAACAAUGAAACCAUUUCUACUAAAGACAAACAAUGAAACCACAGAUGCUUUGUGAAAUAUGUACCCGCACAAUCCAACAAACUUUAGAAAUUCACAAACACUACCUAGAAUUUUUGCUGACCAGCAAAAAAUUUAUGCAAUUUAAUUCUUAUUGUUAUUAUUAUUUUCAAUGUGAACAAAUAUGAUUGAAUUAUGAAGUAUUUGGCCAGAAGAGGAUCUUGCCUAAUUAUAGUCAUUAAACAACCAUUUAUACCAUAGCCUCUAGACUUUAAAAAGUUUAUAAAACUCAAGGGCUUCCACCCAAUUUCUAGAUAUCUCCAUAACAUUCUUCUGACUAUUAGAAAGCAAUUACCACUUUAAUUUUUCAUUUCAUGAGUGUUCAAUUCAGAAAAAGACCAGGAUCGAACUUGCGAUCAUGCAGUCGAAAAUCCACCUGUGCAUGAAACUAUUGCCUCACGAUUGCAAACUCAAGUUGGAGUCCAGUAACAACUCUAGGUUUGCUGAUGUGCUCCAUUUGAAAUAAAGGAACUAAAGAAUACUUUAUAAAGAUUAAUUACCUUCAUAUUUUAGGUUGGGGUUAAGGCAAAAUGUGAUAGAUUGAGAGGAAGAAAAUAUAUCUUGUUCAGGAAGCCAAUAUUUUGGAGUUCACCUUUCCAUUCGAGUCCACUCUGCUAUAGCAAAAUCAGAGUCACAACUAUGCCUCUUUAAGCUAUCCUUUAAUUGGAUGAAUUGCAGAUUUGGUUGCUGAGAAAGUGGAUAAGAAAGAAAAAUGCAUACUGUAGCUUGAGAUUAAGAGUUUGUUUUCUAAAAUGAGAGAAAGGGAAAGAGAAAAAAUGCAUAUUGUAGCUUGAGAUUAAGGGUUUGUUUUCUAAAAUGAGAGAAAGGGGAAGAGAAAUGUUCGACAACUUUGAGAUGACAAAUUUUUAGAUUUGGAAAAUUUGAGAUGAGUCUCAGGUUUUUUUUUUUUUUUUUUUGUCUUUGUCUUUGUUUUUUUUUUUUUUUUUUGUUUUUUUCCCAAAAACAACCUGUUAAUGUGGUUGUUGACAUAGAAGUGGGUGAGGGCAAAAUGGGCAUAGAAAAAAGAGUCAACACAAAGUGCACAAAACCCAUAUUAUUUUCCACAUUAAUGACUGAUUCUCAUAUUUCUUGUUCUUGGGAUUUGAAAACCAUAUUAUUUGCAAAUGGACCUCCCAAAGCACAGGUUUCCCUUAGUUUUAUGUCUCCAUCUACAUUUUACAUAUAAAUAGAUUAUUUUAUAAAAUUUGUUUUGUAGAUAUAUUAGUUAAUAAUUAUAUAAUUAAUGAUAUAGAAAACAUAUAAAAAUCAUAUUUAAAAAAGAUAAUUACAUAUUCCUCAACAAUCCAUCCCAAGAAUUCGAGGUUGAGUUGAAAACAUGUAGAGUCUUUGAUGUUAUUAUAAUCAUAUCCAACACAUAUGAUUAUUGUUUAUGAGAUAUUAUUAGAAAGUUUGUCUUAAAAUAAUUGAUUUAUUACCCACCUUUAGCAAAUGCCCAUUUUUGCGUCUUUCAAAAUUUUCAUUUUUUUUUUGUUUAAAAGAAGUAUUGUAAAGAAUGAUGAAAUAAGAAAUUUGUUGAGAAAGUGUGAGUAAAUAAUUUUACAUAAAAAGAGAUUUAAUACUUGAUAAAUAAAAUAAUAAAAUCAUGAUUUCUAGUUGUAUAGGGCCGGGUGGAUGGAGUGGCUAAGAUGUAAUUCUUGAAAUAGAGGAGACAACAUCAAUGUAUAAAAGUUUAACAGAGAAGGAAAGUGUGUUUGAAUGACUUUAUUUUCUUCAUUUAAAGUUUUGACGAUGAGUGUUUAUACAAGAUAAAUUUUCAAAUGAUAGGACUCCUAUUUACAUGGAGUUUGUGAUAUACUAUGAUUAUACAAAUUUAAAAUUCAAACAGAUUCAUGAGUUGAUAGGAGUCUGCUCAAUACGCCCCUUCAAAAUGGUGGGAGAUAGCACACCAAUCUUGACUCGAAGGGCCUAAACUCGUGCAGAAGAUGAGGGCUUUGUUAGAGCAUCGACAAGUUGAUCCGUGGUUGACAUAUGGGACACCUUGAGCUCACCUGAUUAAACCUUGUUUCAAACAAAAUGAAAAUCAAUCGCCGAUGUGUUUCAUGGAGAGUGAAACAUGGGAUUUGCACAAAGAUAUGUUGCACCCACGUUAUCACAAGAGAUAGGAGGUGGUGAUAAAUUUGAAACACUAAGUUUUGAGAGAAGAGAAUUAACCCAAAGAACCUUUGAGGCUGUAGAGGCCACGACGUGAUAUUUCGCUUCAGUGGAAGAGCGUGCUAUGAACUUUUGUUUCCUCGAUGACCAAUACACAAGAUUGUGACCAAGAAAAACAAUGGGAGCAUUGGUGGAGGAUCUGACAUAAGGAUUCCUUGCCCAUUCAACAUUCGAAUAUGCAUGUAGAUUGAUGGGCGAUUUCUUAUGCAAGAACAGACCAUGCACCAUUGUGCCGACUAAGUAUCUAAGCAAUCUUUUAACACAAGACCAAUGUGUUGAUGUUGGAUGGUGCAUAAAUUGAGAUAAUUUAUUCAUCAAGAAGGUGAUGUCAGGGCUAGUAAGAGAGAAGUAUUGAAGGCUUCCAACAAUUGACAUAUAUUUAGUGGGACCAGGAAAAGAGGUGUCAUCACACAGAUUUGGAACAUUGUUGAGGAACAUCAAUGAUUGAACUGGUUUGGUAGCCACCAUUUGUGUUUUCUUAAGAAGCUCUCGAAUGUACUUGAGAUAAAAAUAAUCCUUUGGAAGUAUGUAUCAUUUCAACACCAAGAAUAAAAGAUGAAGUCCUGAGAUCCUUAAUGGAGAAUUUGACUGCUAAUUGAGAGAUCACGCGAGCACGAAAAACAUUAUUGUUACUUGUUAAAAUAAGAUCAUCAAUAUAAAUAAGUAGGUAAACAAUGAGACCACUCUUUUUAAAAAUGAAGAGGGAUGUCUCGGUUUAGGAGUUGACGAAGGCUAUUGAGAGGAGAAAUUGGCAAAGUUCAUGAUACCAUGAUCGUGGAGCUUGUUUAAAGCCAUAAAAAGCCUUACAAAGUUGGCAAAUGUGAUGAUGUGUGUAUUCGUGAACCCAGGAGGUUGAAUCAUGUAAACAUCUUCAUGAAGUGUCCUAUGCUAGAAUGCAUUAUUAAUGUCCAAUUCAUGAGUUGAUAGGAGUCUGCUCAAUACAAUGUGGGAGUGUGAUUUCAAAAUUAGGGUAAUUUCGAAAUGGAUUUUGUAUUCACAAGUUGAAUUUCAAAAUUAUUUUGAAAUGGUCUUUUAACUUUAAGCAGUUGUGUUCAAAAGGUCAUAACUUCUUCGUUUCAAUUUUGAUUUACACAUUGUUUAAAACAUUGGACUCUUUACUUCCCGAGCUUCAAAACGAUAUAUAGUAUGCUCAAAAAUGACAUCAGGAUUGGUUCAAAUUUCAUCUUGAUAUUAGAGUACAUGUUGUGAUUAGAUUUUGAGUUCCAAAUUUCCAUGUAAACUUGAUUGCAUUUGCUUCAAACCUCCUUCAUUAUGGUUGCUUGCCCUCUAUCUCACUUUGCAACAUUUGUUACUAGUAUUUUAUGUCCAUGACUUACUCAUUUCAACCUUUCUUGGAUUCUUCAUGGUUCACAAAUUAUGGAUUCUUCAUGGUUCACAAAUUGAGUCUUUCAAUUAUGCAUGUUUAACUCCUAUUUCCUUGGUUGAUAAUGACUUUUACACUUAUCAUUUUCUUUUAUUCUUUAAACCUGAAUUUAGACUUACAAAAAAAAGUUAGAUCCAUAACUAGGGUCUUAGCAUCAAUUUGAGUUAAGUUGGAUGAUUUGAAAAUUUUAUAUUACAUAAAUCAUAUCAUACAUGUGCCAUUGGAGUGCACAUUUUGGCUCUAAUCAUGUUCCAACCCAUUGUUUUACUCUUGCAUGAAGUAUGUGGCCAUUGAUUUUAAUUUUAUUUGCGAUUAGGUUCAAAAUGGUGCUUUUGUGUUGCUCAUGUGUCAUCAGAAGAUCAACUAAUGGAUUCUCUAACAAAACUACUACAUCAUAGUCAUUUUUUUUUUUCUUAAGACCAAGAUUGAGAUCUCCAAUCGGAGCCAACUCCAUCUUGGGGGCAUGUUAGUGAAAGAUAAAAUUUAUCUUUAAUUUAAAUAUUAAUAUUUAUCAGUUAUUAGUUUUAAUUAGAGUAAAAGAUAGAGUUUAAAUUGGAGUAGGAGAUAAACUUGUGUUUGAACUAGAAUAGAAGAUAAAGUAUAAAGAUUUAUGUUUGAAUUAGAAUAAAAUAUAAAGUUUGAAUUAGAGUAGAAGAUAAACUUGUUCUUUAUUUGUAUAUAAAUAUUCAUCAAUUCUUGAGAAGAAGAUUAUUUCAUAGUUUUUCUAUCUUCUUUUUUCUUCAUACAUAUCUGCAAGAAAUUGAAGAUUUCAAGUAAAAUAUUUUCUGUUUUAAAUAGUGAAAAAAGCUAGAAAUUCACUUUGUUAUCUCUUGGGGUAAAUUGACAAGGUUUAACGUUAAGAAGGUGAAUUAUUUUUUCAGAAAAACUGAAGUAGCUAGGAUAUCUGGCCAGUUGUGAUCGAUAAAAAAGUUGUAAAAUCUCUCAUAUACUAAACAGGUUUUGGAUGUUGGUAUGGUAAAUCCAUCUGCAGUCAUUCGUCAUCUCAUCUAGUGAGAUGUUUGGGAGGUGGUGACCGCCGGAUUGGGUUUCAUUUGGUUAAAUCUGUCAGUGGGUUGGCUACUACCCGAGCCUCUUGCUUUGGGGGAGGUGGGUUCUAGAUAUAAUGUUCAAACCAUUUUAGUUAUCAUAUGCAUGACAUGUAAGCAUAAUCUCUUUAUCACUUCUUCAAUGGGAGUUCAUGGUUAGGAAUUGACUUCUUUUCUUCUGGGAUGCUUGGCAUGUAAUGGACAAAGUUACUUUUAUAUCGAUCGAAUUUCUAGUAUUAUAGUGAAGACUUACCCUUUUGACAUUUUAUAUCGAAUUAUAGAAGAUGAAAGGGACAUACAUGCAAUCGACUGACGCUUUAGUGAAUAUGCUGAAAAUAUGCUGAUGCUGUGGAGAUCGUAUGAGGACAGAGGAAAAAGAUAGAAAUGGAUAUAUAAUUAGACCUAGGUUUUUAUUAAAUGAGAUGGGGAACAUAGAGUGAGGGAAAAUCAAAAUUUUUGGCUGCAGUUCACAUUGGUGAUAUUUUGGAUUGACAAAGACUAACGACUUUUCUAUUUUUCUUUUCGGCCUGACUGGAUAGUUGGACAUGGACAAUACAGAAUCCACAGAAGGAUUGUUGGGACCGCUGAAAAUUAGCUAGAAGAAGCUGAGGAAGUAGUCUACGUAGUCAAAUACCAAACACAAAGAAAGAAAGAAAUGGAUAUCAUGGAUGCCUAGAGUUAUACUCCUAAUACCGUCACAGGUAUUUUUCUUUCCUCCUUUUUUUUUCUACGAUAAUUAGAGCAUUUCUCCUCCUCCUCCUCCUCCUCCCCCCACCCCACCACCAAAAAAUAAAAAAAUAAAUUAUUGCAAGUAACACUUCAAAUAUUAAUUUAUACAUUCUAAAGUAUAUAUUCAUGAAAUAACUUGAGUAUCAUACAUUAGUUCUCAAAAAAAAAAAAAAAAAAAAAAAAAAAUUACUGGAAGAGAAAAGUUUAAGAAAACAUAAAAAUAUUCAACUACUAUUUUAAAGAGAAAAUUUAAUUUUUACACUAUAAAUUUGAAGAGAACUUUUACAUGCAUCUUAUAUAAACUACCAUUUUUUGCUAAAAGGCUUAAAUUUGUCAAAAAUACCCCUUAGGUGCUUAACGUUCUGGUCAUAAUAUAAUUGGCAUCUUUUCUCAAACAUAAGGCCUGUGUGUGGGAACAAGAUUUAAUGUUAAUGAGCUUCGCCACCGACAUUUAGUUCCAGAAAUCAUUAUUUUAAUAGAGUGGGCUCAAUUUACAACUUUAAUUAAACUCUAACCAACUGCAUUGUGAAAUGAAUAUGUUUCUUUCGUGGUGAAUCCAAUGAGUUGGGAGUCAAACUUUGCUUCAUUGUGUAUAGAUGAAAUGUUAAGACUCCAUGUAACCUCAAACAUUUCCGCAAUNNNNNNNNNNNNNNNNNNNNNNNNNNNNNNNNNNNNNNNNNNNNNNNNNNNNNNNNNNNNNNNNNNNNNNNNNNNNNNNNNNNNNNNNNNNNNNNNNNNNUUCUUUCGUGGUGAAUCCAAUGAGUUGGAGUCAAACUUGCUUCAUUGUGUAUAGAUGAAAUGUUAAGACUCCAUGUAACUCAAACAUUUCCGCAAUGAGCGGGAGUUCUAAAUUUAAUAAUUGAAAUUGUCAGUGGAACCAGUGGACAAGAGUUGGUUUGUGGUUGACAAACUUAUCCGUUUGAUCUUUACUUGAACAGUUCCAGUGUGUGGAUGGGUACUGAUGAAGUGUGCGCAUUUAUUUUGAGAAGCCUGCUUGUUCGCAUAGAUUUUAACGACAUGAACAUUGUGGUAAGGUUAGAGAGUAAUGCGAAUGUAGGAGCUUAUAUUAGAAAUGACACAAACACGUAAAUAGAAGUAAUCUAUAUAUGAUAUUACUCAUGGACUACAAGCAAAGAAGUACAAUACAUGGAGUAAGUGAUGAAAUGAGCAUUCCUCACUACUACUGCUUGACUGAUGGAACAUGAUGCACGAGAUAGCAUAAGUAGUAGUAGGAAGCAGCUCUUAUUUGUGGCGUCGGUAUACAUCAUACUAGGUAGAUGGUUCAAUUGGCAUGGAUGGGUGGUGGAGCCUUGAAGUGCUUGUGAUGGGGAGCCCACGGCUUCUUCUCAGGAGUUGGUGGCUUCUUGUAUGGAGUUGAUGGAGGUGUUUCUACUGGAGGGUGGCCAGGGUAGUGACCCUGGGGUGGUGAAGGUUCUUUUGUCGGUGGUGGCCUCACUAUUAUUGGCGGUAGAGUUGGUGGCUUGGGCGUUGGCGGUGGUCUCACUACUCUUGGGGGUAGAGUUGGUGUCUUGUGUUUUGGUGGUGGAGGUGGCUUAACAGGAGUUGGUGGCUUGUAUUCUGGGGGUGGUUUCUCCACCGGAGGUGGCUUAUAAACUGGAGUUGGUGGCUUGUAUUCUGGGGGUGGCUUCUCCACUGGUGGUGGCCUGUAAACAGGGGUUGGUGGCUUAUAUUCUGGGGGAGGCUUCUCCACUGGAGGCGACUUAUAAACAGGGGUUGGUGGCUUGUAUUCCGGGGGUGGCUUCUCUACGGGAGGUGGCCUGUAAACAGGGGUUGGUGGCUUCUCCACCGGAGGUGGCUUAUAAACGGGGGUUGGUGGCUUGUAUUCUGGGGGUGGUUUCCCCAGUGGUGGAGACUUGUAAACAGGAAGAGGUGGUUUGUGCUCAUAUGGGGGUGGCUUGUGGUCAUUAGCAAGUGAGGGAGUGGUGAGGACCACCAAUCCAAGGAACAACACGAGUGAGCAAGCAGAAGACAUGUUUGGGCUCUGGUGAUGCACAAGUAGAAGAAAUGGGAACCAUUUAUAAUGCUUCGAGACCUUGGUUAGCACCAAAAUAUGUCAAAAUCUUGAUUACUUCAUUUCAUACAUAGAUUUAAAAUUAUUUCAAUCAACCAUGAUCCUUAAUUUUCUGGGUGGUCCAUAAAUGUAAUGGGGUCAAUUUGGGACCUAACAAGCUGAGAAGUUUGACAAUGCUGCAAGGCUUCAUCCGAAAGUCCGGGGAAGAAUAUUAGGAGUUACACUCCGUUUCCUUUUUUGGGUGCAUUUUUCUCCUUUAACAUUCUAUUCCCUUUUACAUUAGCAUUUGAUCUUAGCUCAUUUCAAGUACAAGUUUCUUGAACCCUAUACCAUUGUCAAAGUUGAGUAACCAUCUCUACUUUGCUCAAGAAACAUAAAAGACAAUGACAAUAAAGAAAAAGGAGAGAGACCAUACGUGACUUGGUUUAUAGGUGGCUUUGUGUUGACAUUUGAGUAUGGAAGCCGACAUGCAUCUUAGCUUCGAUUUUAAUUAAAUUUGUACAUUAGUGUCUGUGUCAUUCAUUUUGGUAUAAAAGGUCUCUUGAUUUCGUAAGUUUGGUAAGAACCGUUGAAAAUAGCAGUAGCAGCACAUGGUCCACUUUCUUUCACAAAAUAAUUUUAAAAGUUUAGAAGCAUAGGAGGUAACAUUAGUGGCCUUGUGGCUCAGCCACGAGUACUAUGUGGUGCUCGAGAAAUUGAGUUUAAUUUCCUUCCGAUAGUUCAUGAUAAGGUCCGUCACUGUCCUGAGACAGAUUGCGUUUUUUCUUUUUUCCUUUUUUAGUGUUUUAUUGACUAGCUAGGUGUGACUUUUCCUACUUUAAGGCACGAGGCAGAAAAGAAACUGGGAUUUAGUGCUUAAGAAGGCAAAUUUAAUUCGAUUUGGAUCUAAAAUUUGCCAGCAACAUGAGAUUUUCCAGCCUAUCGUUGCUCCACAUAUAGACAAGGCACUUGUAGAAGUGGCUUGUUUGUAGCCAUUCCCGAUAUUUGGACUCACUUGAUUCACCGGACACUUUGAUAAAAUUUAAUAUUUAUUAUUUAAUAAUUUAAAUUGAUUUAAAAUUAAAUUAUACCGAAGUUGUGAUUUAAAAAUUAUUAUUUAAUUCUUACUUUUAAAUAUGAAGAUUAUUUGAUAAAAAUAAUUUAAAAUUUAUUAUAAAUUAUCAAAUUAACAUAUUUAUCCUUAUAAAUUAUAAUUAAAACAGAAAAGGUCAAAUGAUUUGAGUAUCCAUAGAUGUGGUAAAAUAAUAAAAAAGAUUAUAAAAACAAUUAUGAUAAAUAAAGAUAAAAAGUAAAAUGAAUAUGUGAAUUUAAAGAAUAAAUUAAUUAUUUUUAUUUAUUACUUAAAAUUAUUUUUGACUUUAAAUUAUAUUAUUAAAUUAUUUUACCAAACAUACUUAAUUUAGUUAAUAAUUUAAAUUUAAUUUAAGUUAUUAAAUUGAUUCACCAAAUACCCACUUAAUCAAAGACUGAAGUAUACAUUAUUUGGCCAAAUGCAGCUAUUGAAAUUUAACUUUUUCCAAACUUAUUCAUUUUGUGGAAAUAUUUUUAGAAAUGAUUUUAAAAAUGCACUAUUCUGUGUGUUGAUUUUAUAUUUUGGCAUUAAUCCAACAUAGAAAACGGUUCUUAUUUUCGCUGUUAAAUAGGUACCAGAUCCUUAAUUAGUGCCGUGAAUCCGGCAGCUUCCAAUGAGUAAUUUGGACUUGGGUAUUGACAAUGUGUGGCCAUGCUUCUACUAUUUUAUUAUUCUUGAAACAUAUAUGAUAUAUUGGACUUUAUACAGGGAAAAAAAAAAAAAAAAGUCUUCACCAAAAAUGAUUCCUCCUAAAAAAUAGACUCCACAAACUAGGUUUAACAGGAAAAUGAUUCUAAUCUAGUAGUUUCCAGCCACAUGAGCAUUUACGUAACAAUAGUAUAGUUGAUAACGACUUUUAUUUUAUUUAUUUUUAAAUAGUUAAAGGGAUAAUUUUUGAGCUUAAAUUUUAUUUUUUUAUUUAGAAACAUUUUACUUUAUUUUUUAAUCAUAAUUCUAUUAUAUUAAUGUUUUAUUUUCUAUUUUUUAAUAUAUAAGGAGAUACUAAAUUUAUGUGAUUAUUUUUUAAAAAUUUAGUAUAUGAAAUUAAAUAAUUGGAUAUAUAUACAUAUAUCAUAUAAUGUUUUUUAAGUGUGAUUUUUGAACUUUUUAGUCAUUUUAUAAGUUUAAGCUUUUGAUUUUUUUUUUUAAACUUUGGUAUUUUUUAUUUUAUAUAAAACUAUUUUGAUUUAAUUUUAUUAAAAAAUAUUGGUAUUAUAAAUUAUUGUAUUAAUUAUUUUUUUAUAUUAUAAUGUAACUGGUAUAUACUAAAAAAUGUAUGCAAGUUCAAUUUAAGUUUCAAAUUAAAAAAUUUCAUUUAAAUAUUUAAUAACUUGUUCAUAAUAAAAAAUUAAACAACAUAAUACAAAUGAAAAGAAACAUAAAAGAAAAAGGAAAAAAUGGUCCUCUCUGUGUGUCACAUUACUAGGUCAUCCUCUUUUUCUAUGACCCUUACAAUAGAAUGGCAUAUUUGUCAAAUCUACUUAUGAAAGUUGGAAUGUUUCUACAUGUGUAGGGUCCAUUGGAACUAAUGGAGGAAAGGCUUAACGUCUAUGUAAAUCACAACGUUGCCUAGGUGGGCAUAGAUCUAGUUGUGUAACAUGAGAUGGUGUGAGAGUACAAUAUAUGCAUUGUAGUCUCUAUGGGAAGAGAGAUAGGUAAUGGUAGGGUGGUAGACGGUAGGGUGAUCUCUAAUAUAAUGACAUUUGAUGUGGUGGCUUCUAAGAGAGGAGAUAUAAGAGAUGGUAGAAUGACAUUUGGUGUAAUGGUCUCUAGUGCAAUGACAUGUGAUAUGGUGACCUAUAAAGAAGAGAUAUAGGUGAUGGUGAAGUGGUAUGUGGUGUAGUGACCUUUGAGAUAGAAAAUAGAGGUAAUGGUAGGUUGGCAGGUGGAGUGGUCUUUGGUGUAGUGACAUCAAUUAUAAAUGUCUCCAAGGGAGGAAAUAAAGGUGAUGGUAGGUAGUAAAUGUUGAGGUGGUCUUUGAUAUGUUAUGCUCUAAGAGAGAAGGUAUAGGUAAUGAUAAUAGGGAAUUUGACAUAGUGGUGUUGGAAAUAAAAAGUGAAAGUGACCGUAGAGGUGAAAGGGCAAGUGUAAAAGCCUCAAGUACGAAUGGAGUAAUUAAUGUGGAUGGUGCUAACAUAGUCUUAGGUGGAUACACAAAUAGUCAUAGUCAUCAACUAGCUUGCCCACCAUCUGUCUUUCUGCUAGUGAUAGGUUACAUCUUAAUAGUAAUGGCCAACAUAAGUGGUGUGGAUCCGAUUUUUUUACGUGUGUCCCCACUCAAUCGACAAGACUUAUUUUUUAUUAGUGAAAAAUUAAUUUUGGAAAAGUUGGAGUCACCACUUAUUUUAUUUUAUUUUAAAAAGGAAAGUAAAACAAGAAAGAGAACUCUAAAGAAGUGACUUCAUAGUUUUGGAAAAGUUAGUCUUAAAAAAUCCAAGUCUUGGUCCGGAGAUCAGGUUACUUAUUGGGAAGAUACCUCUAAGAGGUAAUACCCCUCUAAACCCUAAAGAAGUCUCUAAUGACUAAGUUGAGGAGAAUGUGGUAAUUAAUUAAUUGAUUGAGGGUACCUAGGUAGACUAAGGUGAUUUCAGAAUUAACAUACCAAGCUAGAAAGUCCAAUCAUGAUCAUAAAAGAGAGUCAAAGUAUGUACCUGAACUGCUUCUCAAACGCUAUCAUAAAACAUCAAAGUUAGUAUAGAAAUAUAACACAUAAUAUUUGUUUUAUCCAAGCAAAUAAAGCAUACAUCUAAGCACCCAAGAAUCACAUCAAGUAUGGAUAUAGUCAUCAAUAGCAUACGUGUCCAUAGAACUAUCGAAAGUAAAUGUGGAGGAGCGUAUCUGGACAACAUAGAUAACUUAUAAUGUGCUUCCACAAGACAUGGGGGUUAGAUAAAAGUUAUAAUAAUAAUUAGUAAAUGAAAGAAUUCUAGCAUGUUUGGUAUCUAAAUAACAUAGCAAAAAUGAACAAGAGUACACGAAAACAUCAAUUAUCACACGAGUCAUAUUGGCUAGUAUUUAAUCAAUAAACCAACAAUAAAUGACUAUAAACAUAUAAAAUGACAUAUUCAAAGAGACCCAAACAUAAAGAGCCUAGAACACAAGCUUACACUAAAUUUAGAAAACUAAAACAUGGAAUUUUAAAAGCAUAAAUUAGCAAACAAAUUGAUGGAAACUAAAUUUAGAUAACUUAAGAAUAUUUUUCUUAUCCUUCAAUUUAAAUCAGUAAGCCAACAAUAAAAAAUUAUAGAAACAUGGAAUAUCAAGAUCAAUGGGAUACCUAAACUAUAAUUUUUAAAAGAAAAUAAACUAAGCAUAAUAUCUACAAAGCAACUAAACUAACAUUUUUUUAAAAAUAAAUUAAACAUGACAUUAAUGGAGUAACCAAACUAAAUUAAAGUAAACUAAAAACAUUUAUGAAUUUUCAAACAUGGAAUCAGCUUUCUUAGUAAAUUAAAAUUAUUAAAAUAAAAUCUAAGCUUAAAAAUGAAUUAAAUACUAACUAAAGCAAAUCUAAAACCAAAUAUUUAACACAUAGGAUCAAUUAUAUUAACAAACUAAAAUUUUAUAAGAACACUUAAACCUAAAGUUGAAUUAAAAACUAACCAAUUUUUAAAACUAGAUCUUUAACCCAUAGGAUCAAUUAUAUUAACAAAUAAAUAAUAAAUAAUAAAUAAAUAAAACUCAAACCUAAAGAUGAACUAGAAAUGUACCAAAGUAAAUUCAAAACAAGAUCUUUAACACAUUAGAUCAAUUAUAUUGACUAACUAAAAAAAAAAAAAAAAAACACUCAAACCUGAAACGAUGUAUUAGAAACUAACCAAAGCAAAUUUAAAAUAGAGUCUUUAACACAUAGGAUCAAUUAUAAUCACUAACUUAAAUUACAAUUUUUGAAACAUGAACUAAUUAGUGUUGGAUUAAUUAAACUAAUUAACUAAAAAAAACUAUAAACUAGAAUACGGUGAAUCAAGAAUUCAAAUCAACAAACAUAAAAUAUGGGUACAAUGAAAUGAAAAUCUAUUAAACUAAUAAGACGGAAAUAUGACAAACUCAUGAACCCACAUUUUGAUCAACUAGGAAAUAGAAAUUAAUAGACCUGUAGCAUGGAUACAAUGAAAUGAGAUCAGUUAAAUUUAUUUGCCGAAAUUCUAAAAAACACAUACACUCAAAUAAGAUCUAAAUCUAAGACCAAGCAAAACUCAAACUUUCUCAAUCUAAUGCAAUGAAUCAAAACUAAAAUUAAAUAGAAAUCAAACCAUUUUUUUUUUAUCUAAUAUAAUAAAUCAAAGCUAAAACUAAACAAAAUCGAAUUUUCUUAAUUUAAUAUGAUGAGUCAAAGCUAAAAUUGAACAAAGUUCAAACCUUUAUAUAAUGGAUCAAAGUUAAAUCUAAAUGAAAUCCAUACUUCCACAAUUUGAUAUAACAAAUCAAAAAUAAAACUAGAUAAAAAAAAAGUCAAAGCCUUUCAACUUGACAUAGUGAAUCCAAACUGAAACGAAACAAAAUUUUAACUUUUCCAAUGAAACCCAAUAUAGAAAAAAUUAGCUUACCUUCUUUAGAAUAUAUGUAUGGGCCAUAAAGAAGUCACCUUGGUGCAUGUGUUCCUCACUUUGACGCCAAUGGACGACUUUCUAUGGUAGCAAAUGGAGAUCCUUUUUGGUGGUAACUUGCGUGUGGAAACCUAUGGUACAACCAAUGUCAUCUUUUAUUGUGCGUGUGGACCAAUUUCUUCUCGAGAACUCAUGUGUGUUGUGCUCAAAAUAUGUUGCCUGUGAGAAUCUAUUGGUAUACCCCACAUAUGGUUUCCUUGAGAGAAUCUGUGGUUGUGUGUGGGCGUUUUCUUCAUGACAGCAUGUGGAUGUUCCCAUCUAUGGUAGAUUGGUUGUGAUGCUUUAGUGCAUGGUCUCCAUAGGAAUAGUGUGUUAUGGAAAUUUGGUUUUUUUAUUGGUGCAUGUUGUCUAGACUUUCCCAUAUGCGUGGACUGUGUGUUCAUGCUUUUCUUUUCGGAUGGUCGCCUGUGUUAAUGUGUGGCGGUGUCUACAAUGAAAGAUACAACCCUUUCUCUCCUUCUGCGUGAUAGAAAAGUCAAUCCCCCAUGGUGCGACUAUGUUCCCUCGUCCUUUUUGAAAAAUUUUGGUGUUUUCCCCCCAAAAAAUCCCCUCCAAAAAUCUAAUUAUAAAUGUCUGCUUUGGCCUAAUGUGUGUGCUACUUUUUUUUUCCUUCUUUUUAUGGUUGUGCGUGCUUUUCUUGAUACGUGGCUUAUUUCUUAAGGAUAUGAUUCGCUCCCAAUUGGUGUCUCAGCUGAUUCAUGUCCUUUCAAUGGUCCCUGACAGUGGUGCCAUUUGAUUCGUGUCCAGCUGGUGUCCCUUGAUUGUGGUCCUCAGAAGGGAGUAAUCAAUAAAAUUUAUAACCUAUUACACCAUGUAUUAGGAUAGCCUUAGCUAGCAUAGCAUAGUGGCUCUAGGGUCGUUUAUUGGGAUGAGUUUUCACUUCACAAUUGAUAUUAAUUCAAGAGCUGAAUUGGUGCCUUUUCAUUUCAAGGUUAGCUUUAAAAGAAAACAUAAUCUUUGGUGGAAAAAGGUUUGGUUUUAAACUAACCAAAAAUAGUAACUGAUUUUACUUACAAAGAAAAGUGUUCUUUGGAGUUUAGAUCACUAGGCUCAGGUUCCUCAUACAAAAAGGAGAGUUCCGAUCAUUUGUUUCUUUUCCUCGCAUUAGAGAAUUAACAUAUAGUUAAUUCUCUAACCGGUGCGGUACAUAUGCUUCCCAUUAAUGGGUUCAAACACUAAAUACCUCUCACUGAUGCACCUUGCAAUGGCUCGUGCCUCUCACCUAGCAUUUAUCAUUCAAGGUGAUCUUUAACCUUGGAUUACCCAUCAAAAGCUCGCAAGAGAUAACUAAAGGAUGUCUCCUUAGAGUCCAAAAGCUUACCAAGUGUUGGUUAUUCUAGAAAAUCCUACCUUCAAACCACCUCCCAAAGGCUCGCAAGAGAUAAACAAGUGCAUCUCAAUGGAUGAAGAUCACUUGCCUUACCAAGUUUUGGCCCAGAUGAUUUAAUGACAUUUUAAGUUAACUAAAAAGAUAAAAACCAUUAACGGGUCACACUUUCUCUUCAUUAAAAACUAAAACAACAAAACUUCCAAUUUAUGCAUGAGGAAACUUACCUGGCUUUCUUCACUUCAAGAGAUGAAGAGCCUAGCCACUCAUCAUUUGAGGAAAAAUCCUCAGAGUUUGAUUUGCUAGAAAUAAAAAUAAUGAGAAAACAAAAAUAUAUAUAUGAAAAACAGAGCAAGUUCUCUGUAAUAUAUUUUUCUUCCUUAUACAAAAGGUUGUCUCUAAGAACAAGUUCCCGAGAUCUAUCUGAUUGUAAAUAAAAUUACAACUAUAUAUAAGAGGUUAUUCACCCCUUUGUUCUUUCUUAAAGACUAAGGAAUCCUAUGAUAGGUGGGUUACAAGGAGAGUUUGGGGAUUUAGACAUCAAAUAUCUAAAGCAAAAUAUCUCAAGAUGUUAGUCGGAAAUAUCAGGAAGCUUCAGGAGAACACCGCGACACUGUAUACUGAGAGAAAAACUCUCCGGGUAAGCUCUAUCAAAGGAUCCAGACAUGUCUGACUGGGAAAGUUGAAACGUCCUUCUCUCCCAUCCGGAUGUGAGAUAUCCGGAGAAAGUGAAAUGUCGGUCGGACAGAAUUCUUUCCCCGGGUGGAAUGAGUUGUGUUGCGCGUCGCAAGGGGGACCGUCUGCGUGUACAAGUUGUAGGGACCCCUCUCCCGGAUGACACCGAGCGCGUAAGGCUAUCCGGAUCAACUCCAUUCGGAUUCCCCAAGAGGACAUGUGGCGUGCUCCCCUAUCAGGACUCCCUUAGGGAGAAGCACACGACACUCGUGAACAUCAUACCCGGACGAUAGCAUGUCCUAUCCGGAUGUGUUGUCCGGAUCAUUGACUAAAGUGAGCAAGCCUUGCUACGUCAUUCGGACAGCUUGCCACAUACCAUGUUCCGUCGCCAUCUGAUGGUGUGUCCGAACGCCUUGUCCGGACAUCUUUUGCUCCUUGCAUUCCGGAUUUGCUUAUGACAAAGGACUUCAAAGCUUCGGUUCUUCAUGUUUCUGAGCUUUCCAUUGCUUUGCCAUGGAUUCCAAAGAACUCUCCUUAAUCACGGAUUGCUUUGGUGAUCAAAAAGUUAUCAAAACACAAAAACUUAACAUAGUUUGAUUAGAAUUGAUUGCAAGGGUUCUUAAUAUGUUAAUUGGGUUAAAAGGUGAUAACUACUACUCAAAAGUGUUUAUAAGAAUUAAUUACAAGCUAUGAAAUAACACUUUUUGAGUAGUAAUCAGGAUACAUCCUAGUUUUUCAUGGAAUUGAUAGUGGGUUGUUGUGCAUGAAUGCCACCAUUUCAACUAUGCUGUUGUUAUUUUUAAAAAAAAUAUGGAUUAUGCGCGAGUGGCAAUUCUCCACUAUGGAAAGUGGAUUGCUCCUUCAACCCAUGCAUGGCUACGUAUUCCUAUGUCUUUCUACUUGUGUUUGAUCCUCCAAAAAAAAUUUCGGUUUAGUGCUAGUAGAUUUUAAGUGGUGGAUCCCCAUUUUUUGAAAAUGAAGUGGCAGCCUCCCAUUUCAAGACAAAAUGGUAGCCUGCCUUUAAUCUUUGGAGAAAAAUCUGUGCAUGACCUUUUUUUUUCCCAAAAAAUCCGUGCAUGGUGUCCUUUAAUAUUUGGAGAAAAAUCUAUGUUGGAUCUUUUCUUUUCUAGAAACAUUUGUGUGGUCUUUUUUGUUAGCCCAAGGGUUCUUCUAAUCAAGUUUUGAUGAUAACAAACCAUGGUUAAGUGACUAAUUGGUUUAAUGAUUAAGAAUCUCAAACAUAAAAUCGAAAAUUCAUCAAAGGACCAAAUGGAUACAAGAUCGAGACGCUUGGAAGACUUGUAAUCAUAGGAAACUAAUGUAAGAUGAAUGCAUGAGUGCACUUAGGAUUUUCACACGUUUCAUGCAACUUAGAAAACCCAGUUUAUUCUUUAAAACUUCAUCCCAGUUUAUUCUUUUUAUGGUUGUGUGUGCUUUCCUUGAUACGUGGCUUAUUUAUUAAGGAUACAUCCCAGUUUUUCAUGGAAUUGACAGUGGGUUGUUGUGUGUGAAUGCCACCAUUUCAACUGUGCUGUUGUUAUUUAAAAAAAAAAAAAAUGGAUUGUGCGCGAGUGGCAAUUCUCCACUAUGGAAAGUGGAUUGCUCCUUCAACCCAUGCAUGGCUACGUAUUCCUAUGUCUUUCUGCUUGUGUGUGAUCCUCCAAAAAAAAUUUUGGUUUAGUGCUAGUAGAUUUUAAGUGGUGGAUCCCCUUUUUUUGAAAACUAAGUGGCAGCCUCCCAUUUCAAAACGAAGUGGUAGCCUGCCUUUAGUCUUUGGAGAAAAAUCUGUGCAUGACUUUUUUUUUCCCAAAAAAUCCAUGCAUGGUGUCCUUUAAUAUUUGGAGAAAAAUCUAUGUGGGAUCUUUUAUUUUCUAGAAAAAUUUGUGUGGUCUUUUUUGUUAGCCCAAGGGUUCUCCUAAUCAGGUUUUGAUGAUAACAAAUCAUGGUUAAGUGACUAAUUGGUUUAAUGAUUAAGAAUCUCAAACAUAAACUCGAAAAUUCAUCAAAUGACCAAAUGGAUACAAGAUCGAGACGCUUGGAAGACUUGUGAUCAUAGGAAACUAAUGUAAGAUGAAUGCAUGAGUGCACUUAGGAUUUUCACACGUUUCAUGCAAUUUAGAAAACCCAGUUUAUUCUUUAAAACUUCAAUUUCAUUAAAACCCGAGUUUUUAACUAAUGUACCUUAGGCAAAAUGUUUUAUAAUUGGCUUAAUAAUUCACCUAAAUACAUUUUCUAAGUGUUAGAAAAGAAAGGAAUUAAAAAAAGGUUUUCGGGGCAAAAAAGGCUCAACCGGUCGAGGCUAUGGUCAACCGGCUCAACCGGUUGAGGAACCAAUCGAUCGGUUGUGCUUGUCCGAUCGAAGACCAAUCGAGGGAUGCCAAAAAAUUUCUCUCUCUCCUAGUGGCCUUCUCUUCCCGGUCGAGGUUCGGUCUAGGCAACGGUAACAUGUCAAGCAUUAAAUGCUCCGACGACUAGUGAAUCGGUCGACCCCUAGCCCGAUCGGACGAGGUUGCCUUUUGCUGUUUUUGACUCCCGAGCUUAGAAACCUAUAAAUUGAGAGCUCCACUUCAUUUAUUGAUAAAAGAGAACACUUGCAUUCAAUAGUCUACCUACCUUUUCUUGAUCAAAAAGCUCUCAUUUCCUUCAUAGUGCAUUAAAUCAUCACUUGCAUAUCCUUUAGUGCACUAUUGUGUGUCAUCCUAGCUUUGUUUUGUAUUUGAGCUAUCCUUAAGCUAGGUUGAGGGAUUAUUUCUUAUAAAAAUCUGAGUGUUAAAGCCUUCAAGAGAUUUGAAUCUUGAAGAGAUUGUGUAAGAGCCCAUUGGAGCCGGAGUCCAAGUGUAAGAAGAUUGGAAGCUUGGUUGAAGCUUCAAGUUAGUGGAACCCUCACUCGGUUAGGAGGUUGAGGAGAGUGGACGUAGGUAAGGAAGUGUCGAACCAUUAUAAACCCGAGUUUGAAUUCUCUAACUCUAUCUCUUUAUUUUGCUUAUAUUGUGUUUGAAUUUGUUGUGAUUGAAAAGAUUUUAAAAACCUAAUUCACCCUCCCCCCUUUUGGGUUUUUUUUUCUUAAUUAAGCAUAACCUUUGUUUUCUAAUUUUCUUUUUAGGAAAAUCCAUGCGUGGUAUGUCCAAACUCUCCAAGUGGCAGUCUGCCUUCUUCUAAAAAAUUUGUUUCUAUUUCUUUAUUCGACUACCUUCCAUGUCUUCCUAAUGAGUGCUUGUGCUCAAUGGUCAAUCCCUGGUGGUUGCCUCCUUUUCCCAUAUAUACGUGUUGCAAAAUCAACAUCCCACUAUAUGUGGGUUGCCUCUAUGGCAAGUUCACAUUUCCCACAUGAAACCUAUGAGUUUCCACCAAAAAUUGCCAUGAAAAAGUCUUUAUAUGCAUCUCAUGCAAUAAAAAGUCAAGCCAAUACUCAUCUUAUCUCGAAAAAUAAGUAACCAAAAUCAAGAUCAUGCCUAAGUGAACUAUGCCAAAAGAAGUGUCCAAGUGACCUAUUAUGAAAAAAGUGCCUAAGUGACCUAAGGUGAAUGUGUGUAAGCUGGAAGGUGUCUAGGAUGUUUAGGACAAUGCCUAAGCCUAAAAUAGGGUUGCCAAGGGUCACAAUGGGGUUAGAUAAAUCUCUCAAUCAGAGUCUCCAAGGUGGCUCAUAAAAGAUAAGCUACACGAGUAAUGAUGGGCCACCAGGGAAUUAUUGUAAAGCACCAAACGAACACAUAAUAGGACAUGUGUUAGAAUGAAAAAAUGGAGGGUUUACAAGUGGUCUCAUGGAUGAGCUUGAUAAUUUAAAUGACUCACAUAAUGAACGUAUGUGAUGUUUCUCUCCAAUAACAAGCAAAACAUCACUAGCAAUAUGAUGAAUGUCUCCUAAAUCACUUGAAGUAGUCCUAGCAAAUCAAUUAGAAAAAUCACACAUAUUGCUCUAAUGUAAUAUUAUAUACAUCUGUCAAUGAAUGGGAGAACUAAUGACACAACCAUCAUGUUGAUAUCUCGAACCCUCUAAUCUCAUAUGUAGGUGGGAUCACACUUAGAAACUCAUAACACAGUAAUGACCAAUCUAAGUCAAAAUGUGUUGGUGAUCGGAGGCCCAUGAAUAUGAAGUUCUAGGAUGAUAAUGACAUCUUAUAAAGUAAUGAUCAUCUCCUUAAUAGAUAGGUGAAAUGUGUGUGUCUUAGGACACCAUCUCUCAACAAGACUUGUGAUCAAUCCCCAGUCUAGUGUAACAUGCCUAUUAUGACAUCCAUCGUAAAAUCUAGACUAGAUAAUAUAAGGACAAAUGUGAGGGUUCAUCUCCCUUUCCCACAUAAAUUUAAAAAAUUAUUAUUGACAAGUUAAGACCAAACUAAGUUGCAAAAUAUAAAUAAGUCCAUUAGAUAACAAAUUUAUGUUUUCUCAUUUUCUCAUUUUUAAAGAGAUAUUAUGUGCUUCCAUGUACAUACAUGCUAAAGUCAAUUAUACGAGACUUAUAUCCAUCUUGUAGAACCAAAUCGAACCUAUCUAAUAGAUCCAGAUUAGAAGUAUGUCCUCUAUACUCCAUAUUUAUAACACAUUUAUAAAGAUAAAUGCUAAAAAAAUGUUAAAGAUAUAAAUUUAAUGAACCAUACUUUAUGAUUUUAAUUCUCAAUUAUUGUUCAUAUUUAUAAGAGAAAAGUUAAAAAAAUUGAUAGAGUUUUCCCUCUAUCAUGGACAUUAUCCCAAAUAAAAAUAAAUUGAUUAUGCAAAUUACAUUAAUAUUUGUAACCAAAUGAUCAAUAACUAUCUUGUAUCAAUUUAGUAAAUAAAUUUAAGUAUAUCUUUUCAUUUAUGACUAACAAAUAACUCAUACUUGUCCAAUAAAAGCCACACCUAAUUUCUAAAAUUUUGUCUUCACCUCAAGUGAGUGUUACAUUGAGAAAGAAAAAAUAUGAAAGAAAAAAUGAACACCUUUUUCUUUUAAUAAAAAAAGGCCAUAACGAAACAUUAAAUCUCACUGUUACACCUAUCUUCAAUGGAAACAUGAGGAUGUGAAUGGUGGCGGUGAUAUUCUUUGCUUGAAGCUCAUAAACAAAUAUUCCUUACUAAGCCUAUGCCAUUUAGUAUUUCAAUAGUGGACCCCCCCCCCCCCCCCCCCCCCCUCCUUGCAUUUCAGAUUUAGCAAACUUAGAACCAAAUAACAAAGUGCAUUUGAACCCAUAAAGAAGUAAUGAGACUCUCCUAUAUUGGCAAUAGAAGAAAUUUUUGGAGGUAUAGGAGAUUCACGGAUGAAGAAGUUGGGCCCCAAUUGAGAUAAGACCCAAGAAAAGAUGGGGUAGAGAGGGAUGGUUGGAAAUUGUAAAGUAAGAUUUUCAAAAUGUAGUUGAUGACUAAGAUUUUGACAAUUUAAAAAAGGUUUAAAAAUGUAGUUAGCAAUCGGGGUUUUGUAACAUUUAAAAAAUAAAAUAAAAUCUCAGGCCACAUGGUAGCCCAUGUGAUUCAGAAGCUUGAGAAUUAUUUUAUAAGAAGACUUAAUUUGUGAUUUUUUUAUAACUAUAUUAUUUUUUUUCUUAACACACGAAAAAAAUUAUGAAAUAAGACAAUUUUCCUAAGAAAGCAUGUAAGUGACUCUUGGUUAUUUUAUUUAACUUCUUCUAGUUUGGAGAGGAUUAAUACCUUUGCUUUUACUCACUUGCUUGGAUAUGUACACGUUGUUCAUGUCACUUUUCAUUUAAUUUUCUGAUUAAGGGAAUUGGAACCGUACGUAACUGUCUUUAUUCCCUCUGAAACUUGGACUUGGAGUUGGACUUUCAAUCUCAUCAGUCGUGUUUCCAUAAAAAAGAAGAUGGAUUAACCAAUUUUCCUAUGCCUACUAAUCAUACACAAAACUCCACUUCCAAAUAAAAAGGAAUGGGAUAUCACUUGUUAAUAGUGGCUAAAGACUAUUAAUAACCAUGCAAAGAAAUGUCACAUUUUUUGUUCUACGCAAAUUUUAUUCAUCAACUACUAGAACCAUUUCAUACAAUAGUAGCUUUUCGAUCCUUUGAUAAAUGGACACUUGAUGUGAUAACACCAACUACACCUAUAUAUUCAAGCAAUCAUGCGUAUAUAAUAGUGGAUAUGGAUUACUUCUCUAAAUGGGCAAAAGUUUUGUCAUUCAAGGAAAGUGAACGAGGAAACACAAGUUUACUUUCAUCGGAACUAAUAUUAUAUAUUGAUAUGACUUCCCAUUAUUACUUACGAUGGAAUAUGCUUCCAUAAAAUGGCCUAGAUGAACAAACUAUCCAAGAAGUUUGGGAUCAAAUAAUAUAUAUAUAGUUCAUGUGUGAUUCUUUGGUUGACAACCUUGUUAAGGGGUGAGUGAAGCACUUUGGGCAUACCACAUACUACAUGCUAGACUUCCACCCAAGCUACCCUAUAUUCCUUAUGAACAAAGUAGAAGUUGUCAUCUCUCUUGAAUACCAAAUCCUUUCACCUAAUAAUGCUAUCUAAAAAGGUCUUAAAAAGGAUAAAAAUGCGCAUAUUUGAAUUUUUGAAUUAGGAGUGCUACUUAAAAAGAAGCUAGAUAUACAAUAAUAGAAUGUUAUCAAGCAUAUCUCUUCAAAGUUUUUGACCAAAAAAUAUAUGAUUUCUCAUUUUAGGUAGGAGACUUAGUACUCACUAUUCAAAAACCAAUUAUCAUUACUCAUAAAAACUAAUAGAAAGUUUGGGCCAAAGUAGGAUGGACCUUAUAUUAUGCAACAAUUAUGCCUAUAAAAUUGUUGCAAAAGAGGUUUUAGAAUCAAAUCAAUGAAUGAAAAAUUAUUAAAGCAUUACUAUGCUUGAAGGCUAGUCAUUUUCCCUUAAAGUGCAAUAUUAAGUUGCAUAGUACUAUGUGGAUCCGCAUUUUUCACAUGCGUUCCCACUCAUUGUCGAGACUCACUUUUUAGAAGUGAAAAAUUAGUUUUAUUAAAGUCGAAGUUGCCACUGGGGAUUUGAACCCUAACAAAAGGUUCAAUUUAAGGAUAAAAAUAUCGAUAAUCACAUAUAUAUAUAUUGGUACUUUGAUUUUAUGAAUAUAUUGAAGAAAUAUGGACAAAUAUUUUGACACAAAAUAUGUACAAAAUAAAAAUUAUAUAAAAAGUAAAAAUAAAUAUUUUAAAAUUAUUUUUUUAAAUAUAUAUAUAUAUAAUUUGACAUAUUUGAUAAUAAUAUAUAAGGGUCUCCAAAAAGCCCGUGGCCCGCUUUAGGCCCGGUCCGACCCGACAGGCUAAAGCCCGGCCCAAGCCCGCCGGGCCCAAGCUCGGCCCGAGCCCGUUUAUGGGUGGGCCGGGCCGCGAGCCCGUAGGCCUGCUCCUUUAAAAAAAAACUACAAAAAUAAAAAGUAUUAAAAAAAAUAUUCAUUUCAAAAUUUUAUUCAUUGAAUGUAUAAUUACAUUUGAAAAUGUGGGAAAAGUUUACAUCACUACAAAAUAAAUACAUCCCAACUAGGUUGGCACCUAUUUAUUUGUCAAUCAUCUGUAUUUUUCAACCACAAAAAAUAAAAAUAAAAAUAUAAUAUACAUUUAGUCAUUAUUUUCUGGCGGUGAUGGCGAACUAUCAUGCAUCCAUGAAGAUCUUGAUAAUUUUAAAGAUUCCAUAUCGGUAAGCAUCUUUGUUUCUCGAAUGGAAUCAUACAUCCUUUUAUCUGCUAUUUCCCAAUCUUUCACACAUAUCCCUGCUUUAAUAACAUCUGACGCUAAGUUGCAUCGUUUUUUACUAACUACUCUUCCACCUGCACUAAAAGCAGCUUCUGAUGCAACUGUACUCACAGGAACUGUUAGUACAUCACGAGCAAUUAUAGAAAGCACAGGAUAUUUGUGUUGAUGUGAUUUCCACCAUAUUAAAAUAUUAAAAUCUUCUUGAUCUUCAAAUGAAAUUAUAUCAGUAUUAAGAUAUUUAUCUAAAUCAGAUGUAUUAUUUGGAGAAUUAUUUGUUGUCUUUUUUCGACUUUUCAACAUUUCUAGAGCUCCUUUAUAAAAAGAUGAGGAGUUUGUAGAUGUAGGUGGUAAUUUAAUAGUAUUAAUAUCAUUACCAUAUUUUUCUUUAUAAUAGUUAUAUAAAUUAUAUAAUAAUGAAUUUAUUUCAUUUUUAAUUUCUUCAAUUUUUAUUUGGUCAUUAAAAUAAAUAAUUGUUAACCAUUCAUCCAAAGCUUCAAAUUUCAAUCUAGGGUCCACAAUUAAAGCAAUAUAAAAAAUUAAAGGUAUUUCUCCCCAAUAUUUUCUAAAUUUUUAUAUCAUUACAAAUAUUGUAUCAUUAAAUAUUUCAAAACUUAAAUAUUUUUGAAGUACAAUAAAAAUAUUAGUUAUUUGCGUAAUAACUCGAUUUGAAGUUGGAUAAUAUACACCACAAAAAAUGUUUGUUGAAGUAUCAAAAAUUUCAAAAAGAUCUCUUAAAACAUCCGCAAUAUGCCAAUCAUAAUCAUUUAAUGCAUAAAUAUCUGCUUCAUAAUCAUUGUUAAUUAAUUGUAUUUCAUAUAAUUCGACUACUUUUCUAUAUUUUGUAAUAUUUUCUAAAAGUUUAUAUGUGGAAUUCCAUCUAAUAGCCAUAUCCAAAUUUAUAUUUUUUCUUUUCAUAUUUAACAUUUUGCAACAAUCAAAAAAUAAUUCAUGUUUUGCUUGAAAACUAUUAAUACUAUAUGCAAUGCCUCUAAUUUUUUUCCAAUGUACUAUCAACAUUUUUUAAUCCAUCCUUUACAAUUAAAUUUAAAAUAUGUGCACAACAACGCACAUGAAAUAUUUUAGCAUGAUCUUCUUUUACUUGCCAAUAUCGUUUUAGUCUAUGUAUUGCUGCAUCAUUAUUAGCAGCAUUAUCUAAUGUUAUUGUCAAUAUUUUAUCACGAAUGCCUAAAUCUAUAAUUUCAUCAUUUAUUAAAGAUGCUAUAUUUUUACCACUAUGUGGAGUAUUUAUUAAUUUAAAUAAAAUUAUUCUUUUAUUUAAUUUCCAUUCAUUAUCAAUGUAGUGAACAAUUAUAUAUAAAAAACCAGUAUGAGUUAAAGAUGUCCAAAUGUCAGAUGUUAAACGAAUAUUUCCUUCAAAAUUUGCAAAAUUUUUUUUUAAAAUUUCUUUUUGUGUAUAAAUUUUUUUCAUAAUAUCUCUUUUAACUGUAUUUCCAGAUCAACCUUUAAAUUGAGGAUUAAUACCUCGUUGAAUUGUUCUUGCAAAAUCAUGAGUUUCCAUCAUGUUGAAAGGUUGUUCUGCUCUUAUUAUAUAAUCAAUCAUUUCUUCACAACAGUUAGAUUCAUCAUAAGAAAAUGUUUUUAAAUUUCCACUUUCAUUUUUACUUAAUUGCAUAUAAUUUCUAAUAUCUACAUUAUUUUUAGUUUUACAAUUUUCAUGAUGUCUUUUUAAAUGACUUGUAUCUGCAUUUGAGCCACCAGUAAGAAAUUUAUUACAAAUUUUACAUUUUGCUUUUAUUUUUUUUUUAUUAUUUUCUAAAAUUAUUUCUAUUCUAUCAAAAAAAUUCCAUAUAUUUAAAGUAAAUUUUUUGUUUGAUGAUAUUUCAUCACAUGGACUAGACGAAGAAGCACUUGUCAUAUUAUAAUUAUUGAUAAAAUAUUAUGCCAAAAAUAAUAAAGUAAUAAAUAUAAAAAAAAAUGUAACAAAAAAAAUAAAGUAGUAGGGGUGAAGUAUGUUACUCAAUUAGAGAACCUAUGCAGAAAUUCCUAGCAAAUUUGAACUCUUGGAGCCACCAAUGCUUGUUUUGCACCAUCAACAAUAUUGUAUAAUUUGAGGGAAAAAUAAAAGAAUUUAAAAUAUUGUAGAAUGUGAGAGAAAUAGAGAGAAUUUGAUGAAAAAAUGAAAAGGAAGAAAAUGUAUUUAUAGGAAGGUUAAAAAUAAUAAUAAUAAUAAUAAUAAUAAUAAUAAUAAUAAUAAUAAUAAUAAUAAUAAUAAUAAUUGGCCAUGUGACCGUUGGAGGCUUAGCUCCAACGGUCACAUGGGCUGGAGCUAGGCUCCAACAGUCACAUGACCGUUGGAGCCUUUAAUUUUUUUUUUUAAAAUAAUAUACUUUAUUUUUAUAUAUAUAUAACUAACUCAAUUAAUAAACAUAAAAAGAAUAUAGUUCAGUUGGUUAGAACCUUGAAGUUUAAACAUGAGGGGAGGGGUUUGAAUCCCUCCCUCUCCCUUAGGGGCUUUUUUAAAAGCCAUUUUGGCUUAUUUCAAAAAGCCUGUCGGCCCGACCCGCCCUGCAGCCCGCGGGCCUAGCAUUUUAGCAUGGCCUGGUCUGUUGACUAGUCAAAUGGCUCAUAGGCUCGGCCCGAACUGGGCCGCGGGCCUCUUAUUUACGGACCGGCCCGACCCGGCCCGCCCGUUGGAGACCCUUGAUAAUAUCUUCUAUAUUAAGUUACAUUAUAGUUUAUUUUACAAUAUUAUUAUGAUAAUAUGUCUAAUUUUAAAAUAUAUUUAAUAUUAAAAUUAUGAUCUAUUUUAAUUUAAAUGUAUUCAAUGAUAUCAAAUAAAUAAUAAUAUAUGUAUAAUUCUUUUAUUAUUUAUAUUUAUUAUUUUUAAUAAAUAUAUAGAUUAUAUAAAAAAGACCGGAUAUAUCUUUUCAAAUUUUGUAUCGCUCUCCAAGGAUAUUAGAUGUAUGGGAAUUUGUAUUGCUAUCUACGGAUACGUUGAUAUAUGGGUGAUUUAUCAGGAUAAUUAGAAAUUCUAAUUAUGUAAGCAGGUACGGAGUUCUGUGUCGGUGCGAUCUUGUCGACAACAGCUCCAAAUUGUGCAUCUUGCUCAUAGAGAGUAGCGGAAUGCACCAAUCGUAGGCUCAGAGUACCACUGAGUCGUCUGGCAGAGACCCAACUGAAGGUGCCUGUGUUGUUCCUGAUCUGAUCAGGCUUCAAACUACAAGGUGGAAUACUGGUUCCCCUAUAUCAGAAGCUGGAGAUACCCACCCCAUAUGCUCGUCUGGAUGUGCUCCUACCCUUUGAAGCCUUCUUCCGAGUCAAGUCCGAAUUGAUAAGGCUAGUGAGUUCCCAACCAACUGUACUCAGCAUGCUGCCAGGUGGAGACCCUCCAUAUUUGAUGGCUUCCUAAUAUUAAAAUGCUGACCACUGGUCUUCAUGUUCCACAGGCUUAAUUGUGUCCUUUGCUGAAAGAAUGGAUAGUGAUCCAUUUUAACACAUGAUUCACGCCGUCUUUGCCAUUCUUCAUGGUCUAGCCCUUUUAUAUAUAUGCUUCCUGAACUGUUGCUAUUAAUAAAAUGUGGUAUCUAUCCCGUACACCUUCCUGAUGGCCAGCGAAUGCAGAAGCUACAGAAACGGUUCCAUCUUUUGCUUCCGCCACUUUGGCAUCCUCCAUGAUGAGAUCGAAGGUGAAUAAUCAUAUUCUGGGGAUUUAUGUCCUGGAUAUUCUCAGUAAUGCCCAAUUUCCUGGUGCCGGCCUCAUUUCCAUGGGAACUGAUGGAUAACUUAAGGCUUCUACCAUCUGCGUGGUUCGCUUCUAACACAGGAAACUUCACGGCUAAAAGCAAGAUACCAAGAACAUCAAGGCUGUGACAAAAAUUAGUAUUUUUAACUUGUAGGAAUUUGAAAGGCAACCAACCAUCUAGCUCUGUUCUUAAAGCUCCCAUAGGAGGAUCAGAGGCUGGAUUGCUCAAGAUGAACUCAUCCAUUGUUGCACUUAAAAAGAAUUGGCAUGAAUUGUGGCCGCUCUAAUAGGUUCCCUAAACCAUCAUCCAAGUGGGCUUGCGGAAGGUAGCGAGUUUAAAACACCUAGGGCGAUGAACAGUGGACUGUGAUGCUCACAAAAGAGAAAAGGAAGAAUUCAAUAAUUCCUAAGAAUCCAUUUGCCUGUCAUCCAAAUUUUUAUAUUCUCUUCAGUCUGACGCGUUAUGCCAUAUAUUAAAAAUAGCGGCUUCUUCCAAGCCGAGACAGACUGUGCAAAGUUCGCAAGGCCAAUCAUCACCAUAAUCUGAAGUUGGCCUCCUCAAUCGCAGCUUGUAUCCGAAUGCUCACUUCACGGGAUGGAUUGUAAUGAAAACUAAUCUCAGUCCCAGCUAUGGCAGCAUCCUCACUUGACAGCAUUUUCUGCAUAUUCUAGAACAAAGCAAUAAACCCUCAAAGGCUCCUUCGGAUCAGAGUUAGAAGACUGUCCCUCAGGAACGUGAACACUAUGGUGGUUCUGAUAAGCAGUGAUAUUGCAUUAGAGCCUUUUGGAACAAGAGGAUCUUUUCAGGUGGAAACUGUAAACUGCUUCAUGUUGGGCUGCAACCUUUUCUUCAAGCAAUACUUUCUUUCUGUAUCACGACUUAUGUUGCUUCCGGAGCCAUCCCGUGUGGACUGCCCUUCAGUGAAAGAAUAUGUGUGUUGACAUGUUGGAUUGUAAUCUUUGUUCCACUCUAAUGGCUUUUGGUCCUCCUCUUUCUCUUUAUGACAGAGAACCAUUUAGUGAUCCAUCUCUAUAUUGUAGCAUUGCUGGUGCUUUGCAAUACUACACUCUCACCAAGCAUAACAUCUAUUUUUCCGUGACCAAAGUAUGUCGGUUUAUGCAUGCGCAAACUCUUAUUCAUUGGCAAGUUGUCAAGCGUAUCUCAUGAUUUCCCAAAGCCACAAGUUCUUAUGGUCUUUCUGUUCAAGCUUACAAUGAUCUAUCUUUUCUUGGUUAUACUGAUGUCGAUUGGGCUAGUUGCCCUGAUAACAAGCACAAUACUAGUGGGUACAACACUUUUCCUGGUCCUAAUCUCAUUUCAUGGGCAUUUUCAAAGCAGAAGGUUGUGUCUCACUCCAAUAACGAAUCUGAAUAUAGGGGACUCACUAAUUAAUGUUGUUGCCAAGGUCACUUGGAUUGAAUCUGUCUUACGUGAGUUGCGUGUUUCUCUACCCCAACCACCAAUUUUGUUGUGUGACAACAUUAGUGCUACACACUUGGACAAACCAUGUUGAAAUACACUAUCAUUUUAUCCAUGAAAGGCUUAUGCAUCACACACUCAAAAUUCAAUACACCUCUUCUAUAGACCAACUAGUCAAUGCUAUGACCAAAGCUCUUCCUUCAUCUCACUUGUACAAUCUUCAGUGCAAGCUGAUUGUUCUUCCCAAACCACUCAACUUGAGGGGAGAUGUUAAGCCAAUUUAAUAAAUUGAUUUCUUUUGGUUAAUUUGUUAGAAUCAUUUUUAUUAGAGGUUUGUUUGUACAAUUACAUCCAUUUAUCAGGAGAGUACACGUGUACAACUCCUCUUUUAAUCUCACCAUUGUAUAUAUAUGAUACACGACCUUACUCAGAAUUGCAUAACAUUUCCUCUGCUCAUUCCUUUUCUUCUUUGAAUUUUCCCUUACCUCACUGAUUUUGAUUUAUACCUGGUGUUUUCACCUUUGGUCUCUACCUUUCUAGCCAGUUUUCUAAUUAAUCCGUAUAUGGUAUACCUGUCAACUAAUGAGGAGAAAGAGAAAAGGGGAUUGCUGUUCCACCAGCUACAUAUAAUAAUUAAUUACAAUCAUGGUAAUGGAUCCUGAAAUCCAUCCUUUGUGGAUUUUGUACGGAAUAUUGUUGUUAUGUAUGUGGGCUCACUUAGAUGUAUAUUGCUAGCCUGUCUGGGAAAUGUGAUUGCAGGUCCAGAUUAUGAUGUUGAUAUUAGUGGGAUAAGCAAGAGAUGCAGUUAACACGUAUGUGAUGGACUUGAGUAACUUUUCCAUUUCAGUCCAUUUUUUAAGAUUAUGCUUAGUCUUAUUACAAGGAAAGACCAUAAGAAUCAUGAGUCAUUGGCAAGGUAAUAUCAUUCCCUCUUUACAGGCUUCUUCACCUUUUGGUUUUUUUAAUAUCCAUCAAGAUCUUUUAAUUGGAGGACAAUUACAAGUAUAUAUAUAUGUAUUAAAAGGGGAAAAUAUUAAAACAGGAAAUUUUAGGGAAAAUAUAAUAAUUAUUUCUUCCUUCUUUCCCAUAUAGAACUACACAAAAUAAAACUUUAAUAAUUUUUUCUUAUCUUUUUUAUUAUUAUUUUUUCUUAGAAACAUCCGUGGUCUCACAAGCUUGUAAUCCUAGAUUGUUAGGCUCCUUUAACAGUGCCCCAACAUCGUGGUCCAAUGACAAGCUUCCACGCCUUAAAAUCAGAAAAUGCCAUUAAACUUUAUCAGACAUUACAGUUCAAGACAAAGCUUUCAUUUGCUUAAUGUGAUAAUGAAAUUGUUAAUUUCAUUUCGUGGGCAUCUAAAUUUGGACGAGCAAGACCUCUGAAUUCCCUGUUUUUAUCACCAGCAGAGGAGAUAAAAUCUUAAUGGUGAGAAUCUCCACGUGAAAUUUAUGUGUACUGUCAACAUAUUUUUGUUUAUAUAGUCCAGUAGCUGCAGGAAGUCUAGAUUAUAUAGGUAGCAGUAGCACUAUUUAUAGCACUCGAUAUUCGCUGUAUGAAUACAUUAAACCUUGUUUUCAAUACGCAUCACAAGCAAGUACUAGAUACUACAAGGAGUGACAGUCGCAUCAACAUUUCUUGAUAAUAGCAGUGACUGAUUUAUACACAGAACAGUACUGUACACGUACCAGUCACCAGAGAUAGGAUCUUAUUCCUACAUACGACUCUUAUUGAUCGAAGUCACUCAGUUGGGGUAGCCUGGAGUUGGAGGUUUGUGUGGUGGCUUCUUCUUUGGAGGAGGCUUUAUCUUUGGAGGCAUCAUCUUUGGAGGCAUCUUGUGUGAGUCUUCUUCAGCAUUCUCUACAGGAGGAUGGCCAGGCUUAUGACCCUUAGGUGGUUUGCCAACUGGGAUUGGUGGCUUGUGUCCUGAGAGUGGCUCCUCUUCUUCGGGAGGUUUGCCAACUGACGUUGGUGGCCCGUGUCCUGGGGGUGGCUUGUGUUUUGGGGGUGGUUUCACUCCACCGGGAGGUUUACCAAUUGGUGUUGGUGGUUUGUGCUCAAUCGGUGGCCUCUCAACUGGGGGGCGCUUGGGGUAAUCAGCGAGUGAAGAAGUGGUGAGAACCACCACUCCAAGCAACAACACUAGCAAGUAUGUGGAAGACAUCUUUGAGUUUGGCUCAGAUGGUGUAGAACUAGAAUCCUGGGUGGCCUUUUAUAUUAGUUGGGCCCUAUGCCCGAACGACAAGUGUCAUGGUGACACAUAAAGUGAUGGGGUCGAUUUGGGCCUACCGGAUUUGAAAACUUGGACAAUUCGAGAAGCGUCUCCUGACUCCGGGUUGUAAAGUGAAAGAUUAGGUAUCGACCAUUGAAGUAUGAUCACAACUUUUGGCCUUUGGCUCUCUCUACUGCCGUAUAGCUUUUUUCCUUUGGAUAUUUUUCUUAGCUAGACACAAUUAUUGAGCAGUCUAAUCUCGAAAUGGGAUUAGUAUAGCUUUAAGCAAAUUUAUUAUAGUUAGUGGAGGACUUUUAAGAGUGCAGACGACAUUUAACACAUGCAUGCAGUAGUAUAGGGGACAUAACACUAUUCUUUUUCCAAAGAUUCACAUGAUUUUUAUAUUAUAGUAUUGGCACAUUGUAUGUAGCUGGUUUUGUGGUUAAAAUUCCAUAUGUAGACACUGGCGUUUCUCCAUUUCUCACAAUUGAUGUUUACCUCCACGAUUACUAGAUUAGAUAUACCAAACAAUAACACAUUGUAUAAUCUAUCCGCCCUUCAAAAUCUACUGUAUGAUGAAAUGUUUCAUGUGUGUGUGAAGUGUUAGAAAUGCACUAUAGGCAACAUCAUCUUCUUUUGUCUAGGCUUGGGCCUCAAAUUAUACUCCCAUGCCAUGAUAAAUUUUCAUGUGCAUUCUCUAAAGAAGAGUGUCUUGAAUGUGCCAAAUCAUUUUGAUUGAUUUUAUGAUGUUAAUUGCUCCGCAUAUGGAUGGGUAUGUGCUUUAUUUGCUUAUUCAAUCCACAAUUACCUUGAACUGAAGUCCUAUUGGAGCUCUAUUAUUUUAGCAACGUCCUGUCAAAUAGGCUGCUAACUUGGGGUGGUAUGGACCCAAUGAUCCAUCUUAAUCUUGGGUUGAUUUUGUCUGACUCUAUCUAUCUCAGAGAGAACCAGGAUCACCAGUGCUGGUCUGCUUAAAGAAGACUCAGUACUGGAUUAAUAUUGGUUUGGGUCAAUAGCUUAUAAUGCAUUGAAUGCAGAAUAAACAAGAUCAAUGAAACCCAAAACACACUGCCCACACAACUUCACUCUGGUGUCUGUUAUUCAUCAAUUCUAUUCCCACAUGAACUGGUUCAAGUUUAAGAAAAUGACAACGGAUCCACUGUAUUAACUUGGUUUUGCUUGGUUUUGAGCUAGUUGCCAAACCAGCCAUGAGUUUUACCUCUAAUGUCAAUGAACAAACCCCAAAUGAACAACUGCAACAGCUUAAAGAGAAGGAAUGGAGAUGAAAAUCCCUGUUUCUUCUCAUUCUGGGGACAAAUUAGAACAUAACUACAAAGGUUCUAUUAAUUGACUUACUCUACCAUGAAUUAUGGUUCUUUGGUUUUCCAAAUUUAAAUUGUACAUGAGAUUAUUUUUUUCCUUUAUAUAUAAACAUAUUAAGGUUUUCUUAUUUCGUGGGCAAAUGCGCUAAGGAUGAAAGUCAUUUCAUUUGGCUGCAACAGCAUCUUAUAAUCAACAUGCAUAAGCAGCAGUUUUAAUUGAUCGAUUGAACACCGACUCACAAGAAUAGAUAGAAUGGUACAAGACAGCUCUUAUUAAUUUAUACUCGUUACUCAUUUUAUGUAGCCCCAUUAAGAUGGCUGGCUGGACCACCGAGGUCUGGGGGUGGU
RNAcentral lists this long non-coding RNA (31774 nucleotides) under Vitis vinifera (wine grape). Its description in RNAcentral is "long non-coding RNA (VVIN_LNC001392)". The record is from RNAcentral. Lineage: Eukaryota; Viridiplantae; Streptophyta; Magnoliopsida; Vitales; Vitaceae.